UUGGGAUGAGCCCCGCGGCCUAUCAGCUUGUUGGUGGGGUGAUGGCCUACCAAGGCGACGACGGGUAGCCGGCCUGAGAGGGCGACCGGCCACACUGGGACUGAGACACGGCCCAGACUCCUACGGGAGGCAGCAGUGGGGAAUAUUGCACAAUGGGCGCAAGCCUGAUGCAGCGACGCCGCGUGAGGGAUGACGGCCUUCGGGUUGUAAACCUCUUUCACCGCGCGACGAAGCGAGAGUGACGGUACCGGAUGAUGUCCGCC
RNAcentral lists this ribosomal RNA (263 nucleotides) under uncultured Actinomycetales bacterium. RNAcentral describes it as "partial 16S ribosomal RNA". It matches the Rfam family "Bacterial small subunit ribosomal RNA", at positions 220 to 493 of the family's 1533-position model. The record is from RNAcentral. Lineage: Bacteria; Bacillati; Actinomycetota; Actinomycetes; Actinomycetales.